UCUACAGUCAGUUGGAUUUUUGGGUUAGUUUAGUGAAACAUGUGGGGAAUACCAAUGUUACACGGAACUCUUUCAGAAGAUAAAGUAGGAAGAAACCCUUCCUAACCCAGUUUAUGAUGUCAGCAUAACUGUGAUAUCAGAAUCCAAUAAGAACAUUACAAGAAACAAAAAUUAGCAAGUUGAAUCCAGUAAUAUCUGAAAGGACAAUGCAUAGUAACCAACUGGAGUUGAUUCCAGAAAUCGCACAGAGGACACACGGAGGGAAGAGCCAUGAAGGGAGUCCUCACCCAAAAUCAACUCUGAUACCACCUUGAUCAUGGAGCUCCAGCCUCCAGAACUAUAAUGAAAUGAAUUUCUGCUCUUUAAUUCUCUCAGAAAUAACUGUAUACUUCCAGGAGAGGAGAUGGCAUCUCUACACCUUUCUAUUCUAAAUUUGAUGACUUCAGCACCAUCACAUAAUCAGCCUUCAUCUCUUCCCAUGGACAGUGGACAUGCACUGAACUUGACAUUACACGAAGCUGAAGAAUUUUGCUCCUCGCUGUCUAGGCAAUGGGGGCGCCAGCGUGGCUCAGUUGGUUGGGCAUCCGACUUCAGCUCAGGUGAUGAUCUCAC
Molecule: long non-coding RNA, 612 nt
Organism: Felis catus (domestic cat)
Lineage: Eukaryota; Metazoa; Chordata; Mammalia; Carnivora; Felidae
Exons: 5
Source: RefSeq, a predicted model, not a curated record